This 790-nucleotide long non-coding RNA is filed under the name Setaria viridis. RNAcentral describes it as "long non-coding RNA (SVIR_LNC003518)". Lineage: Eukaryota; Viridiplantae; Streptophyta; Magnoliopsida; Poales; Poaceae. The record is from RNAcentral.
GUUAGGAGCCAUGACAUAAUCCUUGUCAGCCAUUUUCCGUAUUACUUUUGCAAUGUAUAUUAACACUUUGUGCAUUUCUUUUCUAUGAGCUUUUUUUUAUCAUCUUUCUCCAUUUGUGUCUCUAUUGCUUCUAUUUGUGCUUUGAUCGUUUCCAUCAUUUUGAGCUUGUGCUCUCGCUCGCUUAUUCAUGUUGGGUCAAGGUAUGCUAACUUGAACCUGUUGUGCGUCAAUUCUUCCUCCCUCCAUUGCAUCCUGCAGAAUAGGUUACAUAUGUAUUUAAAAUUCGUGUAUGUGGUACAUGUGGACUUACAAGAACCAUAUGGAAAUGAGAUUCACAUCGAGACAUUGUCGAUGGUAAAGUCUGUGCAAAUCAUCGAAAUCGAUCACAAUCUGGUACAGUAGAACCCCAAGAAAACUAAACUCAAACAUAAAAAAAAUUGCUGACAACAACCGACAUGACAGUGUUUGAUUGGUGCAAAUGUAACGUAAUCGGAUUACGGGCGUUAAAGGAUACCAUUACACUCGUAAACGAAUACCAGCCCAUUACACCCCUUCGUACUCGUAUAGCAUCACGAUACCGCCACUCGCGACACCUCCGACACCACCCCUUUCUUCCCCAUCGCUCCAGCUCAGUGCAUUACGGAGUGUGCUGCCACCACUGCUCCCCACGUGAGAAGCUUUGCCAACGACCACACAGCGGUGAACCCUUGCUCAGCUCUUUUCCCCUCUCAUCCCCUAAUUCUCCCUCAGUCCCUCGUACACAUACACAAAGCAAUUUUCUCUCCUAACC